This 83-nucleotide transfer RNA is filed under the name Candidatus Staskawiczbacteria bacterium RIFCSPHIGHO2_02_FULL_43_16. RNAcentral's name for it is "tRNA-Tyr". It matches the Rfam family "tRNA". Rfam says of the family: Transfer RNA (tRNA) molecules are approximately 80 nucleotides in length. Their secondary structure includes four short double-helical elements and three loops (D, anti-codon, and T loops). The record is from RNAcentral. Lineage: Bacteria; Candidatus Staskawicziibacteriota. RNAcentral also lists the same sequence under 2 other names.
GGGCAGGUGGCUGAGCAGCAAAGGCACUAGACUGUAAAUCUAGCGGGGUUUCCCCUUCAUAGGUGCAAGUCCUAUCCUGCCCA